CACGUAGGAGGCGAGCGUUGUCCGGAAUCAUUGGGCGUAAAGAGCGCGCAGGCGGCUUGGCAAGUCGGGUGUGAAAUCCCGGGGCUCAACCCCGUGACUGCAUCCGAUACUGUCAGGCUAGAGGUAGGUAGGGGAGAUCGGAAUUCCUGGUGUAGCGGUGAAAUGCGCAGAUAUCAGGAGGAACACCGGUGGCGAAGGCGGAUCUCUGGGCCUUACCUGAUGCUCAGGCGCGAAAGCUAGGGGAGCGAACAGG
Molecule: ribosomal RNA, 253 nt
Filed under: uncultured bacterium
Lineage: Bacteria
Description: partial 16S ribosomal RNA
Rfam family: Bacterial small subunit ribosomal RNA
Source: RNAcentral